This 3578-nucleotide long non-coding RNA is filed under the name Olea europaea (common olive). RNAcentral's name for it is "long non-coding RNA (OEUR_LNC001418)". The record is from RNAcentral. Lineage: Eukaryota; Viridiplantae; Streptophyta; Magnoliopsida; Lamiales; Oleaceae.
UUUCAGUAGCUCGAAUGCCCUGCAUAGUACUUCAACUUCUAGUUUAUUAGGCUUAUGCCUCAAUUUAUUCAAGUUAAUAUUUGAUUCCAUGCACGAAAACAUAUUUUAUCGCAAUUUAUAUGGGACAGUAUAAGAACUGCAGUUAAUUGGCUCCUCUAUGCAGGUGAUAAAUUCUUGUGUGAUACAGAUUCUUUCUUUUUCCUUUUUUCUUUGGUUUUUGUUGCAUUUCAAUUGCUGCUCCUAUAUGUUAUAAAUAUCUGCUUUUCCCAGCUAACAUGUUAUAUCAAUGCUGCAGCAUUUUGUCCUUGAAGAAAACAUGUUAGAAGUCGACUGCCCUUGUGUUACACCUGAGAUUGUGCUGAAGGCAUCAGGCCAUGUUGAUAAGUUCACCGACCUUAUGGUUAAAGAUGAAAAAACUGGAACCUGCUACAGAGCAGAUCACCUUUUAAAGGACUAUUGCAAAGACAAGCUUGAGAAAGAUCCUAAUCUAAGUGCGGAGAAGGCAGCGGAAUUGAGCCACGUCCUUGCUGUGUUGGAUGACCUCUCUGCUGAAGAGCUUGGUGCCAAGAUCAAGGAAUAUGGCAUUUCAGCUCCAGAUACAAAGAACCCUCUAUCUGACCCCUAUCCAUUCAAUCUCAUGUUUCAGACAUCAAUAGGUCCAUCUGGUUUGAGCCCUGGGUGAGAAUGUGUAUUUAUACUCCGGAUUAUGCAAUUUUGUUGCUGGUGGCUGGUUUAGGGGUGGGGUGGGGUGGGGUGGGGGGGGUAGGAGGGAAGAAGACAACCAUUUUCUUUAUUUUUUUAAUUUUUUUCUUUAUUUUAUUGAUUUUUUUUUCAAUUUAUUUAAUAUGGUAAUUAUUAAGUUACCAUUUUACCCUUUCAAAUUUAGUCAAAAUAGGUCAAAAUUUACUUUUCUUGGUCAACUAAUGGUCAAACGGACGGUUUCCAUCCAUUUGAACCUUCGGUGCAUAUUUUUGAAAGGUUUGGUACCUCCGGUGGCACAAACUAAAGGUUUGGGCAAAGUCUGCUAAUAAACGAAAAGUUUGGUAUCUCGGCUGCAAUUUUCCCUUAUUUUUAUGUUUUAAUUAUUUAUUUUAAUUGUUUUAUUAUAGGGUUAAGUAACUUUUACCUUUUUACCCUUUUCAAUUGAUCAAAAUAGGUUAACAUUUACUUUUCUUGAUCAACUAACGGUCAAACGGACGGUUUCCAUCUAUUUGAACCUCCGGUGCAUAUUUUUGAAAAGUUUGGUACCUCCAGUGACACAAACUAAAAAUUUGGGUAAAAUCUGCUAAUGAAGAAAAGAUUUGGUACCUCGACUACAAUUUUCCCUUUUGUUAAUGAUAGAAACUCAAACUUUUUCGAGGUAAAAUUUGUAUUUAAAAUAUGGUAAAGUUGAGAAGCUUCCACUCCAAAAAUGUCCUUUGGAUACGUAAUGUAAUGGGCUAGCUUUUCAGCCCAAAUGUACAGAUCGGCGCUUGGAGCAGGCAACAAUGGUGGAUUCUCUCUUCAACCCUAAAUUCCUCCUAAACUCUCUCUCUCUCUCUCACGCCCAGACACAGUGACACAAGGAAGAAAGAAAUAAAGUGGAUGAUUCGGAUAAUUAAAAGGUCAAGUGUGAAAAGAAGCAGCCUAACUGCCAUUUUCUCAUCAAGAACAAAACCAGGUGAGGUUAUUAAUUUUCCCUUUCCCCCUUUCAUUUUUAUUUAUGUCAUACGUGUCAAGUUCAACACGCACGAAUGCCUAUUUAUUACAAUAAUAAAGUAAUUAAUUAGAGAAUUAAAAGUAAUUAGAACGGAAUAUUAGACGUUAGAAAAUGACAAUUCUUUCUUCUUCUUUUUUUUUUUUUUUUGCAUACUUGCGAACCCACAAAUCACGAAACAAUAGGAUAAUUUUAAAUAAAAUAAUAUUCCUAAAUAAUAUAAAAUGAAGAACGUAACUUUUUCCAAAUAAAAGAAAAGAAGAUGCUUUAAAGAGACAUUUAUUUAUUUAUUUUCAGUGUGACCUAAAAAAUCUUGAGCUGAGGGAUUGUGACUUUUGGCCUCAGAAAUGAACGCCUCACAAGAAGCUCACAACAGAGAGGCAUUCCGACAGGCCGUCGGUAACACCCUCGAACGCCGUUUGUUUUACAUCCCCUCUUUCAAGAUCUACCGUGGCGUUGCUGGCCUCUACGACUAUGGACCCCCCGGUUGCGCCGUUAAGUCUAACGUCCUCGCCUUCUGGCGUCAGGUCAGUAUUAUUCUUUCUACUUAAUUGUUCAAAUUCCAAACCUUUCAACAUACUAAUUCAAAAUUUUCAUUUUAUGUCCUAUUCUCUUAUCAUCUUCUAUUCCUUUAUUACAUAUUUUCAUUCCGAACAGUUGAACUUGAAUUAUUAUUAGAGGAAAAUAACAUCAUAUUGACUGUCGGGUAUACCUUGUACUUUGGAAAAUGAGGAAACAAUUGAACUUUUGAGAUAGUCUUUUUUGUAAACGAGCCUUCAUUUUAUUUACCAGAAACUCGAUAAAGCACAAAUUAGCAAAAUCAUUAGUUGGUACCAGAAGGAGAAGGGUGUGAAUCGCUCAAAAUUGUGCAAAAUUUACUACUAUGGCAAAGCUGCUAGACUGUUUACAUGGAAAAGAAGCACUCGGCUUAUGGCAAGUGUUUAUUGAGGCGGGAAGAUAAGUCAUGAAAAUAAUAAACUUCAGGAAUGGCUUUCAUUUCAACCCUAAAAGAGAGUCCAAAUUUGCAUAUUGCUGUCCUUCGCGCUUGGCAUGCCUUUGACAGCUAAGAUUUUGGUUAACUAUAUAACAGCAAAAACGUCAAUUAUUAAAUGUCGGGUUCAACUCUGAUAUGAAUUAAAUAUUAAUUAUAUAGUUUCAGUAGCUCGAAUGCCCUGCAUAGUACUUCAACUUCUAGUUUAUUAGGCUUAUGCCUCAAUUUAUUCAAGUUAAUAUUUGAUUCCAUGCACGAAAACAUAUUUUAUCGCAAUUUAUAUGGGACAGUAUAAGAACUGCAGUUAAUUGGCUCCUCUAUGCAGGUGAUAAAUUCUUGUGUGAUACAGAUUCUUUCUUUUUCCUUUUUUCUUUGGUUUUUGUUGCAUUUCAAUUGCUGCUCCUAUAUGUUAUAAAUAUCUGCUUUUCCCAGCUAACAUGUUAUAUCAAUGCUGCAGCAUUUUGUCCUUGAAGAAAACAUGUUAGAAGUCGACUGCCCUUGUGUUACACCUGAGAUUGUGCUGAAGGCAUCAGGCCAUGUUGAUAAGUUCACCGACCUUAUGGUUAAAGAUGAAAAAACUGGAACCUGCUACAGAGCAGAUCACCUUUUAAAGGACUAUUGCAAAGACAAGCUUGAGAAAGAUCCUAAUCUAAGUGCGGAGAAGGCAGCGGAAUUGAGCCACGUCCUUGCUGUGUUGGAUGACCUCUCUGCUGAAGAGCUUGGUGCCAAGAUCAAGGAAUAUGGCAUUUCAGCUCCAGAUACAAAGAACCCUCUAUCUGACCCCUAUCCAUUCAAUCUCAUGUUUCAGACAUCAAUUGGGCCUUCUGGUUUGAGCCCUGGGUGAGAAUGUGUAUUUAUACUCCGGAUUAUGCAAUUUUGUACUGAUUGCAC